Molecule: non-coding RNA, 125 nt
Organism: Brachypodium distachyon (stiff brome)
Lineage: Eukaryota; Viridiplantae; Streptophyta; Magnoliopsida; Poales; Poaceae
Source: Rfam
CUUAUACUCCCUCCGUCUCAUAUUAAGUGCCGAAAUAUUACAUGUAUCUAGACGCUUUUCAGUUAUAGAUACAUCCAUAUUUGGGCAACUUUUAGUCACUUAAUAUUAGAUGAAGGGAGUAAAUC